CACAAUCAUCCGACCUCAACCCAAUUGAGAUGGUUUGAGAUGAGUUGGACCGCAGAGUGAAGCUAAGUCCUCUCCUGCUCCCUGAUUUAAGAGGCGAUGACUACUCCACUCCACUACCAUUGUCAACUCUCUCCUGACGUUAACUGAAGCCAUGUCUCAUGUGUCCGCUCAUCCACCGGCACAUUGAAUGUUCUGCCCUGAGCACUGAGUACCCCUAUCAAUUUUCUCUCAUUACUUCAAAUCCUGUCCUGCACUGAAGUCAAGACUCUGAACAUCUCAACUCAUGCAUCAUACCCUCAUUCAAUCACUUUUGUGAUCCCUUCCCAACACUGUGGACUGAGUCAGACCUGCAUGGGACGCCAGGCGAUAAUGAGCCGUGAGGGCUUUGGACACUGGAGCGCUCUGAUCCAACAUCAGCCUUUGGAGUGAUUCAAGAGGACCUGACCACAUUCUCACUAUAUCAGAGGGCUAGCACUCAGCAUCCUCUCUGUCUGUCUGUCUGUCUGUCUGUCUGUCUGUCUGUCUGUCUGUCUGUCUGUCUGUCUGUC
Long non-coding RNA from Oncorhynchus tshawytscha (Chinook salmon), 548 nucleotides. NCBI's taxonomy places the organism in Eukaryota, Metazoa, Chordata, Actinopteri, Salmoniformes, Salmonidae. The record is from Ensembl.